ACCUGUGUCUCCACACCGGGAACGCUGAGAAAAAUCGCGCUGAAAGCGCUGGGUCGGCGUCGGGCGGUGGGGUGGAUUUCAGGCAGCCGAAAGACAGACGCCUUUGUGAGGAGUGGGGGACCUUAAUCGUGCCACUCCAAAAAUGGCGGCUUGACCGGAAAUGGCUUCCGCCACAAUCAAAGAUGGCGACGAAGGGCAGAAGUCACGUUUUUUAUGCCACACCAAAGAUGGCGGUUUGACACGCCUCUUUACGGCCUUCCAAAGAUGGCGGCAUCUUGCGCAUGCGCCUUGGGGAUGGGACAAAUGGCGGCCUGGAAGGAACAUGCUCCGUCCUUUCGGCUGCCUGAACGCCACGCCGGCGCCGACCCAGGUCUUUUAGCGCGAUUUUUCAUAACGUUUCCCGACGUGGGAAAACGGGUUGUGCGGAGCUGGGAGCACCCGGCAGGAUGCAGCUCCUCUUUCCUAGGAGGGUUGAGAACUCCACUGGUUCCAUGAAUGGAGACAACAGGAUUGAUGUUCUAUGGAUCCCUUGGCAAAUUGCUGACAAGGAAAAGUCCCCACCAAGGUCUUGUCUGUGGCACCUGCAGCUGCCGUGGCCACUGAAAUGCUCCAGAUCCAGUGGUAUUUGAGAUGAGCUGUGGCAGAAUGGAGGAGCAAACACUUGGGAUUGAUUUACUGCAAGAACUGGGAUUCAGUAGCAGCAAUCAGCUGAGCUGUGGUGAGAAACCUCUCCAGUUUGUGCUCCCAUUCAGCUCCUUCUCCUACCCUGGGCUCCUGGCAGGAGCCGUGGAAUGCCGGAAUGGUUUGGGGUAGAAGGGACCUUAAAAGCUCAUCCUGCUCCACUCCCUGCCACGGGGACAACUUCCACUAUCCCAGCUUGCUCCAAGCCCUGUUCAGCCUGACCUUGGACACUCCCAGGGAUCCAGGGGCAGCCACAGCUUCUCUGGACAACCUGUGCCAGGGCCUUGCUAAAAUCAGAGGGAAGUAUUCCCUCAUAAUAGCAAACCUAAACUCUUCAAAACAAGCAAUGUAGCAUAGAUGCCAAUGAUGGGGAAGAAGCUGGAUUUCACACAGCGGAGGCCGUGAUUUAUGCAGCAGAGAAGGAGCUGCUGAAUAUUAAAGGCAUCAACCAAAGCUGGCAGAAUCCCAGUAAGGAUGUUCAGGAACUUUAACCCAAGAUAUUCCACAGGUUUAUUUGUCCUGGCUGAAAGCACUGUGGUAAAUUUGGAAGGUCUCCAAAGGGCAGUAAAGGUGAUUGGAGGUGUGACAUAACUUGUGAUGGGAAAAGUCAAAAUGCACCAGGACAGGACUGAAGUGGAGGAUAUUUCCAUAAAACACACAAAAUGGAUGUUGGAGCUUUCUUGGAGCAGAAUUUCAGUUCUGUUCAGAGGUACCAACUCAUGCACGGUCUGUGAAAUGUGCACAGAAUGAUACAGGCACCUCUCCACAAGGCAGGAAAUAUUAAUUACGGGGGGUUAACGAACGGCAGGAGCUCUCCUGGCACUGCUCAGACGGGUUUUCCCUCAGGCUGAUGCAGCCAAGCUGAUUCCCAGGGUUUCACCACAGCCACAGAACUCUGCCAAUGACGGUCAGAGAGUAUCCCAAUCACCACUGAUUCCAAAGAGCUGGACAAGCUCCAUCAAGGAGAAAUAGAAACAGGAUCCAUAAUGGACUUAUCUGGGGAAUUCCAAUUAGGUCCAUGUACUUCCCGGGCAGCAUUCCCAUGGGACCAUACCCUGCGUGUUUUUCUGGAUCCCGGUGCAGCAGAAUCUCAGUGGCCACGGUUGGGAAUUCGGUGAAUUGGAAGCAGAGCUGAAGGGUUUGUCCACUAAGAGAAGUGGUGAUUAUAAACCAAAGCAGCAUGGUAUUCCACACCAUGGAUUUGGGAUUGGUGAUGGUCCCAAUCCAUAAUCUUUGCUCAUUUUCUUUUGGAUGCUGCAGCCUGAUGGGCUGGGGGAGCUGCUCCUUUCCAUUUCCAUUUAAUUUUCUGUAUUUCAUUAAUUCUCUGUGGAAAUCUGCUUUUAAUGAAAGGGCCCAGGAGGAUAUCGAUGUCGUCCCAGGUUCCUGGGAUUCACAGCUCUGUGUUCAGACCAAGGACUGUUCUGGCUGGCAGAAGCUGCACCAAUCUCCCAAGAAUCUCUGGAUUUUCUUCUCCCAAUUCUCAGUUUGGGGGUGCAGUGCAGCCCUGCCCUGUGCAUCUCCUAGAAGAGUUUUGGUGUUUAAAAGGUUAUUUUGUAUCCUGUAGUACUUGUAACUUGAUAAAAAAGUAUAACACUGUAUCAAUGUGGUUUUGAUUGGCUCAUUUACAUUCCUUAAUUAAAGCAAAUAAUUGAGAAGGGGUUUGAGCAGCCCUUGGUUGGAGCUGGCAGCUCUUCCUUAUCUCCUCAUUCACUGAAUUUCUUUGAAUUAUUUCUUAAGCAGUUACUGCAAUCCAGAUGCACAAUGAGGAGAACAGCAUUGCUGCCCUGCUGGAUUGGGAAAUCCAAGUGCAAUUCCUCAGAGGGAUUGAAGGGAUGGGGAUCUGAGCCUCAGGCUGGGUUUUGGCAGCAGGAAUUCAGUGAGGAGGGGUGAGGGGAGAUCCCCCAAAACUGGUUAAAGCAAAUUCUGCUGGGUUUGGGUGCCCCUCCCCAAAAAAUGAUCCUGAUUAAAGGGGACUUGAGGAAGCAGUGGGAUAUGUUGGGGGGGGGGCUGUGCUGGAGCCCCCAAACCCUGGUCAGGGAUGGUGGGCAGUGCCAGCUCCCUGGGGACACUAUGGGGGGGGCUGUGCUGACACCCCCAAAUUCCAGCCAGAAAUGGAACGGCAGCCGGGUGGAGUAGGGGGGCAGGACGGGAGGGGUUGUUCGUUUGUCUGGCGAUUUUUAUGUCUGUUCACACUGCAGUGAUGUGACCCCCUCUGCUUCCCCCUAUCCCUCCCGGCCCCCGGUCCAGAGAAGGGGCACCGGAGGAGGGGGCGGGGACUGGAGGGGGGGAAGCCCACCCCAGCCCCCCGGGGCCCCCCGGUGCGAUGUGUGGAAGCCGCAAUGCCGCCGGUGUGUGUGAACAGCCCCGAGCGGAGACUCCAGCGGGGGCGCGGGCGCCGGGCUCCGGCCCUCUGGGCUUUGUUCUCCGGCGGCCCGAGCUCCGCGGCUGCGGGGCAAGAAGGAGAGCGGGGAAUGGAGAACGGGAACAGCGAGCAAAGGGGG
Molecule: long non-coding RNA, 3182 nt
Organism: Poecile atricapillus (Black-capped chickadee)
Lineage: Eukaryota; Metazoa; Chordata; Aves; Passeriformes; Paridae
Exons: 4
Source: RefSeq, a predicted model, not a curated record